CUGGGGAUGCUGCCGGAGACAGAGCGCGACCCACCCCCACCGAACCCCAAUCCGGAGCCGCACCAGGCGUGCACACAGCCGGGGAGGCUGGGUUGCAAGGCAGGAUCUGACAGUAUCUGUGACCUGUGGGAACAGAGCGUUUUGCGCCAUUUCAGCGAGCCGCCCGCGCUACCCCUAGCAUUGCUGUGAAGUCCCGAGCCAGCGGCCUUGAACCCACCGGCUCGGACAGCGGCAGCAGCCCCGCUCCUUAGACCGCUUUCAAAAGCGGCUUCGCCAUGUGCAGCUGCUGCGGUGCCGAGCCAGCCCAGCCCGCUGUGAGAGUGAGGCGUGUUCCCAGGGCCUGUGCAACAUGGAACAGCUGCGGCGCUGAAGCGUGUAGCUACUUGGGAUUUGAGGAAUGGAUUCCAGGUUAAUUUAAAUGCCUGUUUUCCUUUGCAUAUAGUAAAAAGUCUUCCCUAGAAGACUGGUCACACAGA
This is a long non-coding RNA of Gopherus flavomarginatus (Mexican gopher tortoise), 476 nucleotides long. RefSeq lists it as uncharacterized. Lineage: Eukaryota; Metazoa; Chordata; Testudines; Testudinidae. The transcript is spliced from 2 exons. The record is from RefSeq and is a predicted model, not a curated record.